GACGUAGGGCGCGAGCGUUGUCCGGAUUUAUUGGGCGUAAAGAGCUCGUAGGCGGCUUGUCGCGUCGAAUGUGAAAUCUCAGGGCUCAACUCUGACAUUGCAUUCGAUACGGGCAGACUGGAGUACUGCAGGGGAGACUGGAAUUCCUGGUGUAGCGGUGGAAUGCGCAGAUAUCAGGAGGAACACCGGUGGCGAAGGCGGGUCUCUGGGCCGAUACUGACGCUGGAGGAGCGAAAGCGUGGGGAGCGAACAGG
This 254-nucleotide ribosomal RNA is filed under the name uncultured bacterium. RNAcentral describes it as "partial 16S ribosomal RNA". It matches the Rfam family "Bacterial small subunit ribosomal RNA", at positions 524 to 776 of the family's 1533-position model. The record is from RNAcentral.